ACUCCUACGGGAGGCAGCAGUGGGGAAUAUUGCACAAUGGGGGAAACCCUGAUGCAGCCAUGCCGCGUGUGUGAAGAAGGCCUUGGGUUGUAAAGCACUUUCAGUAGGGAGGAAGGUAGUGUAGUUAACACCUGCACUAUUUGACGUUACCUACAGAAGAAGCACCGGCUAACUCCGUGCCAGCAGCCGCGGUAAUACGGAGGGUGCGAGCGUUAAUCGGAAUUACGUGGGCGUAAAGCGCAUGCAGGCGGCCUGUUAAGUCAGAUGUGAAAGCCCGGGGUCUUAACCUCGGAAUUGCAUUUGAAACUGGCAGGCUAGAGUCUUGUAGAGGGGUUAGAAUUUCAGGUGUAGCGGUGAAAUGCGUAGAGAUCUGAAGGAAUACCAGUGGCGAAGG
This 394-nucleotide ribosomal RNA is filed under the name uncultured bacterium. RNAcentral describes it as "bacterial SSU rRNA". It matches the Rfam family "Bacterial small subunit ribosomal RNA", at positions 335 to 721 of the family's 1533-position model. The record is from RNAcentral.